GCUGGGUGCAGUGAUGCACGCCUGUAAUCCCAGUGGCUUGGGAGGCUGAGGCAGGAGGAUCAUGAUUCAAAGCCAGCCUCUG
RNAcentral lists this small RNA (82 nucleotides) under Marmota monax (woodchuck). The record is from RNAcentral. Lineage: Eukaryota; Metazoa; Chordata; Mammalia; Rodentia; Sciuridae.